Molecule: ribosomal RNA, 1545 nt
Filed under: Salmonella enterica subsp. enterica serovar Enteritidis
Lineage: Bacteria; Pseudomonadati; Pseudomonadota; Gammaproteobacteria; Enterobacterales; Enterobacteriaceae
Description: partial 23S ribosomal RNA
Rfam family: Bacterial large subunit ribosomal RNA
Source: RNAcentral
GAAUGCUGACAUAAGUAACGAUAAAGCGGGUGAAAAGCCCGCUCGCCGGAAGACCAAGGGUUCCUGUCCAACGUUAAUCGGGGCAGGGUGAGUCGACCCCUAAGGCGAGGCCGAAAGGCGUAGUCGAUGGGAAACGGGUUAAUAUUCCCGUACUUGGUGUUACUGCGAAGGGGGGACGGAGAAGGCUAUGUUGGCCGGGCGACGGUUGUCCCGGUUUAAGCGUGUAGGUGUGUGUUCCAGGUAAAUCCGGUUCACUUUAACACUGAGGCGUGACGACGAGGCACUACGGUGCUGAAGCAACAAAUGCCCUGCUUCCAGGAAAAGCCUCUAAGCAUCAGGUAACAUCAAAUCGUACCCCAAACCGACACAGGUGGUCAGGUAGAGAAUACCAAGGCGCUUGAGAGAACUCGGGUGAAGGAACUAGGCAAAAUGGUGCCGUAACUUCGGGAGAAGGCACGCUGACACGUAGGUGAAGUGAUUUACUCAUGGAGCUGAAGUCAGUCGAAGAUACCAGCUGGCUGCAACUGUUUAUUAAAAACACAGCACUGUGCAAACACGAAAGUGGACGUAUACGGUGUGACGCCUGCCCGGUGCCGGAAGGUUAAUUGAUGGGGUCAGCGCAAGCGAAGCUCCUGAUCGAAGCCCCGGUAAACGGCGGCCGUAACUAUAACGGUCCUAAGGUAGCGAAAUUCCUUGUCGGGUAAGUUCCGACCUGCACGAAUGGCGUAAUGAUGGCCAGGCUGUCUCCACCCGAGACUCAGUGAAAUUGAACUCGCUGUGAAGAUGCAGUGUACCCGCGGCAAGACGGAAAGACCCCGUGAACCUUUACUAUAGCUUGACACUGAACAUUGAGCCUUGAUGUGUAGGAUAGGUGGGAGGCUUUGAAGUGUGGACGCCAGUCUGCAUGGAGCCGACCUUGAAAUACCACCCUUUAAUGUUUGAUGUUCUAACGUGGACCCGUUACCCGGGUUGCGGACAGUGUCUGGUGGGUAGUUUGACUGGGGCGGUCUCCUCCUAAAGAGUAACGGAGGAGCACGAAGGUUGGCUAAUCCUGGUCGGACAUCAGGAGGUUAGUGCAAUGGCAUAAGCCAGCUUGACUGCGAGCGUGACGGCGCGAGCAGGUGCGAAAGCAGGUCAUAGUGAUCCGGUGGUUCUGAAUGGAAGGGCCAUCGCUCAACGGAUAAAAGGUACUCCGGGGAUAACAGGCUGAUACCGCCCAAGAGUUCAUAUCGACGGCGGUGUUUGGCACCUCGAUGUCGGCUCAUCACAUCCUGGGGCUGAAGUAGGUCCCAAGGGUAUGGCUGUUCGCCAUUUAAAGUGGUACGCGAGCUGGGUUUAGAACGUCGUGAGACAGUUCGGUCCCUAUCUGCCGUGGGCGCUGGAGAACUGAGGGGGGCUGCUCCUAGUACGAGAGGACCGGAGUGGACGCAUCACUGGUGUUCGGGUUGUCAUGCCAAUGGCACUGCCCGGUAGCUAAAUGCGGAAGAGAUAAGUGCUGAAAGCAUCUAAGCACGAAACUUGCCCCGAGAUGAGUUCUCCCUGAGA